This 504-nucleotide ribosomal RNA is filed under the name uncultured bacterium. Its description in RNAcentral is "partial 16S ribosomal RNA". It matches the Rfam family "Bacterial small subunit ribosomal RNA", at positions 30 to 523 of the family's 1533-position model. The record is from RNAcentral.
AUUGAACGCUGGCGGCAGGCCUAACACAUGCAAGUCGAGCGGUAGCACAGAGAGCUUGCUCUCGGGUGACGAGCGGCGGACGGGUGAGUAAUGUCUGGGAAACUGCCUGAUGGAGGGGGAUAACUACUGGAAACAGUAGCUAAUACCGCAUAACGUCGCAAGACCAAAGAGGGGAACCUUCGGACCUCUUGCCAUCAGAUGGGCCCAGAUGGGAUUAGCUAGUAGGUGGGGUAACGGCGCACCUAGGCGACGAUCCCUAGCUGGUCUGAGAGGAUGACCAGCCACACUGGAACUGAGACACGGUCCAGACUCCUACGGGAGGCAGCAGUGGGGAAUAUUGCACAAUGGGCGCAAGCCUGAUGCAGCCAUGCCGCGUGUAUGAAGAAGGCCUUCGGGUUGUAAAGUACUUUCAGCGGGGAGGAAGGUGUUGAGGUUAAUAACCUCAGCAAUUGACGUUACCCGCAGAAGAAGCACCGGCUAACUCCGUGCCAGCCGCCGCGGUAA